CAGUAGCCGCGGGAAAACGUAGGUGGCAAGCGUUGUCCGGAAUUAUUGGGCGUAAAGGGCUCGCAGGCGGUUUCUUAAGCCUGAUGUGAAAGCCCCCGGCUCAACCGGGGAGGGUCAUUGGAAACUGGGAAACUUGAGUGCAGAAGAGGAGAGUGGAAUUCCACGUGUAGCGGUGAAAUGCGUAGAGAUGUGGAGGAACACCAGUGGCGAAGGCGACUCUCUGGUCUGUAACUGACGCUGAGGAGCGAAAGCGUGGGGAGCGAACAGGAUUAGAUACCCGCGUAGUCCCUGUCUCUUAUAC
RNAcentral lists this ribosomal RNA (301 nucleotides) under uncultured bacterium. Its description in RNAcentral is "partial 16S ribosomal RNA". It matches the Rfam family "Bacterial small subunit ribosomal RNA", at positions 509 to 807 of the family's 1533-position model. The record is from RNAcentral.